AUUGAACGCUGGCGGCAGGCCUAACACAUGCAAGUCGAACGGUAACAGGAAACAGCUUGCUGUUUCGCUGACGAGUGGCGGACGGGUGAGUAAUGUCUGGGAAACUGCCUGAUGGAGGGGGAUAACUACUGGAAACGGUAGCUAAUACCGCAUAACGUCGCAAGACCAAAGAGGGGGACCUUCGGGCCUCUUGCCAUCGGAUGUGCCCAGAUGGGAUUAGCUAGUAGGUGGGGUAACGGCUCACCUAGGCGACGAUCCCUAGCUGGUCUGAGAGUAUGACCAGCCACACUGGAGCUGAGACACGGUCCAGACUCCUACGGGAGGCAGCAGUGGGGAAUAUUGCACAAUGGGCGCAAGCCUGAUGCAUCCAUGCCGCGUGUAUGAAGAAGGCCUUCGGGUUGUAAAGUACUUUCAGCGGGGAGGAAGGGAGUAAAGUUAAUACCUUUGCUCAUUGACGUUACCCGCAGAAGAAGCACCGGCUAACUCCGUGCCAGCAGCCGCCGCUG
RNAcentral lists this ribosomal RNA (506 nucleotides) under uncultured bacterium. RNAcentral describes it as "partial 16S ribosomal RNA". It matches the Rfam family "Bacterial small subunit ribosomal RNA", at positions 30 to 523 of the family's 1533-position model. The record is from RNAcentral.